GCUGGGCACGGUGGCGCAUGCCUGUAAUCCCAGCGGCUCGGGAGGCUGAGGCAGGAGGAUCGCAGGUUCAAAGCCAGCCUUAGCAAUGGUGAGAUGCUAAGCAACUCAGUGAGACCCUGUCUCUA
Molecule: small RNA, 125 nt
Filed under: Marmota monax (woodchuck)
Lineage: Eukaryota; Metazoa; Chordata; Mammalia; Rodentia; Sciuridae
Source: RNAcentral